Molecule: transfer RNA, 86 nt
Filed under: Gammaproteobacteria bacterium
Lineage: Bacteria; Pseudomonadati; Pseudomonadota; Gammaproteobacteria
Description: tRNA-Tyr
Rfam family: tRNA
About the family: Transfer RNA (tRNA) molecules are approximately 80 nucleotides in length. Their secondary structure includes four short double-helical elements and three loops (D, anti-codon, and T loops).
Source: RNAcentral
GGAGGGGUACCCAAGCGGCCAACGGGGGCAGACUGUAAAUCUGCUGGCUUAUGCCUACGUAGGUUCGAAUCCUACCCCCUCCACCA